AAUGAACGCUGGCGGCGCGCCUAAUACAUGCAAGUCGAGCGAGAAGACGUAGCAAUACGUUUGUAAAGCGGCGAACGGGUGAGGAAUGCAUGGGUAACCCUACCCUCGAGUGGGGAAUAACUAGCCGAAAGGUUAGCUAAUACCGCGUACGCUCCUUGGACUUCGGUUCAGGGAGGAAAGCGAUACCGUGGGUAUCGCGCUCUUGGUUGGGCUCAUGUCCUAUCAGCUUGUUGGUGAGGUAACGGCUCACCAAGGCUUCGACGGGUAGCUGGUCUGAGAGGACGAUCAGCCACACUGGCACUGCGACACGGGCCAGACUCCUACGGGAGGCAGCAGUAAGGAAUAUUGCGCAAUGGGCGAAAGCCUGACGCAGCGACGCCGCGUGGGGGAUGAAGGUCUUCGG
RNAcentral lists this ribosomal RNA (403 nucleotides) under uncultured bacterium. Its description in RNAcentral is "bacterial SSU rRNA". It matches the Rfam family "Bacterial small subunit ribosomal RNA", at positions 29 to 421 of the family's 1533-position model. The record is from RNAcentral.